AACGCACAUUGCGCCCGCCAGUACUCUGGCGGGCAUGCCUGUCCGAGGGUCCAGGCAAAGGAGGUAUCUCACAUCACGUGAUACCCCGGGAAAGAAAAUAUGCGUACGAGAAUUUUAGUAUAUAAUACUCCGUAUUUACUAAUGGCUUCAUUAGAUAUGGGUUUAUUUUUAAAGAGUGUUCCAUGCUAUCCGUACAGAUAAAAUCACCUCAAUGCGCUGAUUACGCCACCC
This 231-nucleotide unclassified non-coding RNA is filed under the name uncultured fungus. RNAcentral describes it as "sequence contains ITS2". The record is from RNAcentral. Lineage: Eukaryota; Fungi.